UACGUAGGUGGCAAGCGUUAUCCGGAAUUAUUGGGCGUAAAGAGCGCGCAGGUGGUUGAUUAAGUCUGAUGUGAAAGCCCACGGCUUAACCGUGGAGGGUCAUUGGAAACUGGUCGACUUGAGUGCAGAAGAUGGAAGUGGAAUUCCAUGUGUAGCGGUGAAAUGCUUAGAGAUGUGGAGGAACACCAGUGGCGAAGGCGACUCUCUGGUCUGUAACUGACGCUGAGGUGCGAAGGCGUGGGUAGCAAACAGGAUUAGA
This 259-nucleotide ribosomal RNA is filed under the name uncultured prokaryote. Its description in RNAcentral is "partial 16S ribosomal RNA". It matches the Rfam family "Bacterial small subunit ribosomal RNA", at positions 524 to 782 of the family's 1533-position model. The record is from RNAcentral.